UACGGAGGGGGCAAGCGUUGUUCGGAAUUACUGGGCGUAAAGGGCGCGCAGGCGGCUGCUCAAGUCAGGCGUGAAAGCCCCGGGCUCAACCUGGGAAUUGCAUUCGAGACUGAAUAGCUAGGGUACGGUAGAGGGAAGUGGAAUUUCCGGUGUAGCGGUGAAAUGCGUAGAUAUCGGAAGGAACAUCAGUGGCGAAAGCGACUUCCUGGACCAGUACCGACGUUCAGGCACGAAAGCGUGGGGAGCAAACAGG
RNAcentral lists this ribosomal RNA (253 nucleotides) under uncultured bacterium. RNAcentral describes it as "partial 16S ribosomal RNA". It matches the Rfam family "Bacterial small subunit ribosomal RNA", at positions 524 to 776 of the family's 1533-position model. The record is from RNAcentral.